RNAcentral lists this ribosomal RNA (484 nucleotides) under uncultured bacterium. RNAcentral describes it as "partial 16S ribosomal RNA". It matches the Rfam family "Bacterial small subunit ribosomal RNA", at positions 30 to 507 of the family's 1533-position model. The record is from RNAcentral.
AUUGAACGCUGGCGGCAGGCCUAACACAUGCAAGUCGAGCGGAUGAAGGGAGCUUGCUCCUGGAUUCAGCGGCGGACGGGUGAGUAAUGCCUAGGAAUCUGCCUGCCAGUGGGGGAUAACGUCCGGAAACGGGCGCUAAUACCGCAUACGUUCUGAGGGAGAAAGUGGGGGAUCUUCGGACCUCACGCUAUCAGAUGAGCCUAGGUCGGAUUAGCUAGUUGGUGGGGUAAAGGCCUACUAAGGCGACGAUCCGUAACUGGUCUGAGAGGAUGAUCAGUCACACUGGAACUGAGACACGGUACAGACUCCUACGGGAGGCAGCAGUGGGGAAUAUUGGACAAUGGGCGAAAGCCUGAUCCAGCCAUGCCGCGUGUGUGAAGAAGGUCUUCGGAUUGUAAAGCACUUUAAGUUGGGAGGAAGGGCAGUAAGUGAAUACCUUGCUGUUUUGACGUUACCAACAGAAUAAGCACCGGCUAACUUCGUG